RNAcentral lists this transfer RNA (65 nucleotides) under bovine gut metagenome. It matches the Rfam family "tRNA", at positions 5 to 66 of the family's 71-position model. Rfam says of the family: Transfer RNA (tRNA) molecules are approximately 80 nucleotides in length. The record is from RNAcentral.
UCUGUGGCUCAGUUGGUAGAGCGUCGCAUUCGUAAUGCGUAGGCCGUGGGUUCGAGUCCCAUCAG